Topomyia yanbarensis is the source of this 304-nucleotide long non-coding RNA. RefSeq lists it as uncharacterized. The transcript has 2 exons. The record is from RefSeq and is a predicted model, not a curated record. NCBI's taxonomy places the organism in Eukaryota, Metazoa, Arthropoda, Insecta, Diptera, Culicidae.
CUUGAUUUUCUUCAAAGCGUGAAUCGAGGAUGGUUGUUUAUUUCACAGGGUAUUUCUGACGGCUCUGUUUCGUGCAUGCAUCUUCAGCGCUCGAUAAUGUUGCCGCACGUUCGAAAUCAUUUUGGAUACACUUACGGUGGUCACUCAGAAGUGCCAGCCAAUGUUCCAAACUUGUGCAGUGGCUUGCUGCUUCGACAAGUGCGGCACGUCGUUAAUUAUAUAAAUAUUCGGCGAUAUGUUUAUUUAGUUUUACCGAUCUGGGACAAAAUCGAUGUGUUUUUAAAAUAUAAAUAGUGUAAAUGUG